This 446-nucleotide ribosomal RNA is filed under the name uncultured bacterium. RNAcentral's name for it is "SSU rRNA". It matches the Rfam family "Bacterial small subunit ribosomal RNA", at positions 26 to 518 of the family's 1533-position model. The record is from RNAcentral.
AGAGCGAACGCUGGCGGCAGGCCUAACACAUGCAAGUCGAGCGCCCGGGCAACCGGGAGCGGCAGACGGGUGAGUAACACGUGGGAACAUGCCCUUCGGUUCGGAAUAACUCAGGGAAACUUGAGCUAAUACCGGAUACGUCCGUAAGGAGAAAGAUUUAUCGCCGAAGGAUUGGCCCGCGUCUGAUUAGCUAGUUGGUGGGGUAAUGGCCCACCAAGGCUACGAUCAGUAGCUGGUCUGAGAGGAUGAUCAGCCACACUGGGACUGAGACACGGCCCAGACUCCUACGGGAGGCAGCAGUGGGGAAUAUUGGACAAUGGGCGCAAGCCUGAUCCAGCCAUGCCGCGUGAGUGAUGAAGGCCCUAGGGUUGUAAAGCUCGUUUCGGCGGGGAAGAGUAAUGACGGUACCCGCAGAAGAAGCCCGGCUAACUCGUGCCAGCAGCCGC